CGUAUGGUGCAAGCGUUAUCCGGAUUUACUGGGUGUAAAGGGUGAGUAGGCGGUCAUGCAAGUCAUAUGUGAAAUGUCAGGGCUUAACCUUGGCGCUGCAUAAGAAACUGUAUGACUAGAGUGCAGGAGAGGUAAGCGGAAUUCCUAGUGUAGCGGUGAAAUGCGUAGAUAUUAGGAAGAACACCGGUGGCGAAGGCGGCUUACUGGACUGUUACUGACGCUGAGUCACGAAAGCGUGGGGAGCAAACAGGAUU
RNAcentral lists this ribosomal RNA (254 nucleotides) under uncultured bacterium. RNAcentral's name for it is "partial 16S ribosomal RNA". It matches the Rfam family "Bacterial small subunit ribosomal RNA", at positions 526 to 779 of the family's 1533-position model. The record is from RNAcentral.